UUUGGUUAAGUUAGAAAGGGCGCACGGUGGAUGCCUUGACACUAGGAGUCGAUGAAGGACGGGACUAACGCCGAUAUGCUUCGGGGAGCUGUAAGUAAGCUUUGAUCCGAAGAUUUCCGAAUGGGGAAACCCACCAUACGUAAUGGUAUGGUAUCCUUAUCUGAAUACAUAGGGUAAGGAAGACAGACCCAGGGAACUGAAACAUCUAAGUACCUGGAGGAAGAGAAAGCAAAUGCGAUUUCCUGAGUAGCGGCGAGCGAAACGGAACAUAGCCCAAACCAAGAGGCUUGCCUCUUGGGGUUGUAGGACAUUCUAUACGGAGUUACAAAGGAACGAGGUAGACGAAGCGACCUGGAAAGGUCCGUCGUAGAGGGUAACAACCCCGUAGUCGAAACUUCGUUCUCUCUUGAAUGUAUCCUGAGUACGGCGGAACACGUGAAAUUCCGUCGGAAUCUGGGAGGACCAUCUCCCAAGGCUAAAUACUCCCUAGUGAUCGAUAGUGAACCAGUACCGUGAGGGAAAGGUGAAAAGCACCCCGGAAGGGGAGUGAAAGAGAUCCUGAAACCGUGUGCCUACAAAUAGUCAGAGCCCGUUAACGGGUGAUGGCGUGCCUUUUGUAGAAUGAACCGGCGAGUUACGAUCCCGUGCGAGGUUAAGCUGAAGAGGCGGAGCCGCAGCGAAAGCGAGUCUGAAUAGGGCGUUUAGUACGUGGUCGUAGACCCGAAACCAGGUGAUCUACCCAUGUCCAGGGUGAAGUUCAGGUAACACUGAAUGGAGGCCCGAACCCACGCACGUUGAAAAGUGCGGGGAUGAGGUGUGGGUAGCGGAGAAAUUCCAAUCGAACCUGGAGAUAGCUGGUUCUCCCCGAAAUAGCUUUAGGGCUAGCCUUAAGUGUAAGAGUCUUGGAGGUAGAGCACUGAUUGGACUAGGGGUCCUCAUCGGAUUACCGAAUUCAGUCAAACUCCGAAUGCCAAUGACUUAUCCUUAGGAGUCAGACUGCGAGUGAUAAGAUCCGUAGUCAAAAGGGAAACAGCCCAGACCGCCAGCUAAGGUCCCAAAGUGUGUAUUAAGUGGAAAAGGAUGUGGAGUUGCUUAGACAACUAGGAUGUUGGCUUAGAAGCAGCCACCAUUUAAAGAGUGCGUAAUAGCUCACUAGUCGAGUGACUCUGCGCCGAAAAUGUACCGGGGCUAAAUACACCACCGAAGCUGCGGAUUGAUACCGAUNNNNNNNNNNNNNNNNNNNNNNNNNNNNNNNNNNNNNNNNNNNNNNNNNNNNNNNNNNNNNNNNNNNNNNNNNNNNNNNNNNNNNNNNNNNNNNNUAAAGGCUGAGCUGUGAUGGGGAAGCUCCUUAUGGAGCGAAGUCUUUGAUUCCCCGCUGCCAAGAAAAGCUUCUAGCGAGAUAAAAGGUGCCUGUACCGCAAACCGACACAGGUAGGCGAGGAGAGAAUCCUAAGGUGUGCGAGAGAACUCUGGUUAAGGAACUCGGCAAAAUGACCCCGUAACUUCGGGAGAAGGGGUGCUUUCUUAACGGAAAGCCGCAGUGAAUAGGCCCAAGCGACUGUUUAGCAAAAACACAGCUCUCUGCGAAGCCGUAAGGCGAAGUAUAGGGGGUGACACCUGCCCGGUGCUGGAAGGUUAAGGAGAGGGGUUAGCGUAAGCGAAGCUCUGAACUGAAGCCCCAGUAAACGGCGGCCGUAACUAUAACGGUCCUAAGGUAGCGAAAUUCCUUGUCGGGUAAGUUCCGACCCGCACGAAAGGUGUAACGAUUUGGGCACUGUCUCAACCAGAGACUCGGUGAAAUUAUAGUACCUGUGAAGAUGCAGGUUACCCGCGACAGGACGGAAAGACCCCGUGGAGCUUUACUGUAGCCUGAUAUUGAAUUUUGGUACAGUUUGUACAGGAUAGGCGGGAGCCAUUGAAACCGGAGCGCUAGCUUCGGUGGAGGCGCUGGUGGGAUACCGCCCUGACUGUAUUGAAAUUCUAACCUACGGGUCUUAUCGACCCGGGAGACAGUGUCAGGUGGGCAGUUUGACUGGGGCGGUCGCCUCCUAAAGUGUAACGGAGGCGCCCAAAGGUUCCCUCAGAAUGGUUGGAAAUCAUUCGUAGAGUGCAAAGGCAUAAGGGAGCUUGACUGCGAGACCUACAAGUCGAGCAGGGACGAAAGUCGGGCUUAGUGAUCCGGUGGUUCCGCAUGGAAGGGCCAUCGCUCAACGGAUAAAAGCUACCCCGGGGAUAACAGGCUUAUCUCCCCCAAGAGUCCACAUCGACGGGGAGGUUUGGCACCUCGAUGUCGGCUCAUCGCAUCCUGGGGCUGUAGUCGGUCCCAAGGGUUGGGCUGUUCGCCCAUUAAAGCGGUACGCGAGCUGGGUUCAGAACGUCGUGAGACAGUUCGGUCCCUAUCCGUCGUGGGCGUAGGAAAUUUGAGAGGAGCUGUCCUUAGUACGAGAGGACCGGGAUGGACGCACCGCUGGUGUACCAGUUGUUCUGCCAAGGGCAUAGCUGGGUAGCUAUGUGCGGAAGGGAUAAGUGCUGAAAGCAUCUAAGCAUGAAGCCCCCCUCAAGAUGAGAUUUCCCAUAGCGUAAGCUAGUAAGAUCCCUGAAAGAUGAUCAGGUUGAUAGGUUCGAGGUGGAAGCAUGGUGACAUGUGGAGCUGACGAAUACUAAUAGAUCGAGGACUUAACCAUAUAA
This 2688-nucleotide ribosomal RNA is filed under the name Bacillus cereus. RNAcentral's name for it is "23S ribosomal RNA". It matches the Rfam family "Bacterial large subunit ribosomal RNA". The record is from RNAcentral. Lineage: Bacteria; Bacillati; Bacillota; Bacilli; Caryophanales; Bacillaceae.